RNAcentral lists this non-coding RNA (92 nucleotides) under Candidatus Fraseribacteriota. RNAcentral's name for it is "Candidatus Fraserbacteria c-di-GMP sequence". It matches the Rfam family "c-di-GMP-I-GGC riboswitch aptamer". The record is from RNAcentral.
UCCGACAAAGGCAAACUCCUCGAAAGGGGGGGACGCAAAGCCACGGGCCUACCGGAGUCGUAGAGACUCCAAAGGCAGCCGGGCUGCCGAAG